CGGGGUGCAGCAGGCGCGAAAACUCCACACUGUACGACAGUACGAUGGGGUUAUCUCGAGUGCAGUCCGAUAAGGGCUGCUUUUCCAUAGAGUAAUAUCCUGUGGGAAUAAGAGGGGGGCAAGACUGGUGUCAGCCGCCGCGGUAACACCAGCCCCUCGAGUGGUGGGGACUAUUAUUUGGUCUAAAGCGUCCGUAGCUGGCUGUAUCCGUCCCCCGUUAAAUCCAGCGUCCUAAGCGUUGGACUGCGGGUGAUACCAUACAGCUAGAGGGUGGGAUAGGUGAGCGGUAUUUCUGGGGUAGGGGCGAAAUCCUUUGAUCCCAGGAGGACCACCAGUGGCGAAGGCUGCUCACUAGAACACGCCUGACGGUCAGGGACGAAAGCUGGGGCAGCGAACCGGAUUAGAUACCCGGGUAGUCCCAGCUGUAAACGAUGCCAGCUAGGUGUUGGGUCGGCCACGCGCCGCCCCAGCGCCGCAGGGAAGCCGUUAAGCUGGCCACCUGGGGAGUACGGCCGCAAGGCUGAAACUUAAAGGAAUUGGCGGGGGAGCAC
This 551-nucleotide ribosomal RNA is filed under the name uncultured archaeon. RNAcentral describes it as "bacterial SSU rRNA". It matches the Rfam family "Archaeal small subunit ribosomal RNA", at positions 326 to 879 of the family's 1478-position model. The record is from RNAcentral.